GGUGCUAGCUUGCCUUGCUCGAUAGAUUUUGAGACUUCUAAUUGUCAUAGGAUAAGGUCACCAUAUUUGAAAGACUUCGGCUUCACCCGAGAGUUGUAGUAACGAGCCACUCUUUGUUGGUAAGAGGUCAUUCUGAUCUGAGCCCAUCCUCUAACUUUCUUGAGGAGAUCGAGUUUAGCACAGAGGUGAUCGAAAUUUUCAAUCUAGUUGAAGCUUUCCAC
This 221-nucleotide long non-coding RNA is filed under the name Elaeis guineensis (African oil palm). RNAcentral's name for it is "long non-coding RNA (EGUI_LNC027411)". Lineage: Eukaryota; Viridiplantae; Streptophyta; Magnoliopsida; Arecales; Arecaceae. The record is from RNAcentral.